Molecule: ribosomal RNA, 478 nt
Filed under: uncultured bacterium
Lineage: Bacteria
Description: bacterial SSU rRNA
Rfam family: Bacterial small subunit ribosomal RNA
Source: RNAcentral
AUUGAACGCUGGCGGCAUGCCUUACACAUGCAAGUCGAACGGCAGCACGGGAGCAAUCCUGGUGGCGAGUGGCGAACGGGUGAGUAAUAUAUCGGAACGUGCCCAGUCGUGGGGAUAACGUAGCGAAAGCUACGCUAAUACCGCAUACGAUCUAUGGAUGAAAGCGGGGGAUCGCAAGACCUCGCGCGAUUGGAGCGGCCGAUAUCAGAUUAGGUAGUUGGUGAGGUAAAGGCUCACCAAGCCGACGAUCUGUAGCUGGUCUGAGAGGACGACCAGCCACACUGGGACUGAGACACGGCCCAGACUCCUACGGGAGGCAGCAGUGGGGAAUAUUGGACAAUGGGCGAAAGCCUGAUCCAGCAAUGCCGCGUGAGUGAUGAAGGCCUUAGGGUUGUAAAGCUCUUUUACCCGGGAUGAUAAUGACAGUACCGGGAGAAUAAGCUCCGGCUAACUCCGUGCCAGCAGCCGCGGUAAAGUG